AGAGUUUGAUCCUGGCUCAGGAUGAACGCUAGCGGCAGGCUUAACACAUGCAAGUCGAGGGGCAGCGGGGAGGAAGCUUGCUUUCUCCGCCGGCGACCGGCGCACGGGUGAGUAACACGUAUGCAACCUGCCCCUGUCAGGGGGACAACCCGCCGAAAGGCGGGCUAAACCCGCGUACAUGCCACCGGGGCAUCCCGGAGGCAGGAAAGGCUUCGGCCGGACAGGGAUGGGCAUGCGGCGCAUUAGGCAGUAGGCGGGGUAACGGCCCACCUAACCGACGAUGCGUAGGGGUUCUGAGAGGAAGGUCCCCCACACUGGUACUGAGACACGGACCAGACUCCUACGGGAGGCAGCAGUGAGGAAUAUUGGUCAAUGGUCGGGAGACUGAACCAGCCAAGCCGCGUGAGGGAGGAAGGUACAGAGUAUCGUAAACCUCUUUUGUCAGGGAACAAAGGCGGGGACGUGUCCCCGGAUGAGUGUACCUGAAGAAAAAGCAUCGGCUAACUCCGUGCCAGCAGCCGCGGUAAUACGGAGGAUGCGAGCGUUAUCCGGAUUUAUUGGGUUUAAAGGGUGCGCAGGCGGUCUGUUAAGUCAGCGGUCAAAGCCCGGGGCUCAACCCCGGCCCGCCGUUGAAACUGGCAGUCUCGAGUUGGAGAGAAGUAUGCGGAAUGCGCGGUGUAGCGGUGAAAUGCAUAGAUAUCGCGCAGAACUCCGAUUGCGAAGGCAGCAUGCCGGCUCCACACUGACGCUGAGGCACGAAAGCGUGGGUAUCGAACAGGAUUAGAUACCCUGGUAGUCCACGCAGUAAACGAUGAAUGCUGGCUGUCCGGGGGGACUGACCCCUGGGUGGCGAAGCGAAAGCGAUAAGCAUUCCACCUGGGGAGUACGCCGGCAACGGUGAAACUCAAAGGAAUUGACGGGGGCCCGCACAAGCGGAGGAACAUGUGGUUUAAUUCGAUGAUACGCGAGGAACCUUACCCGGGCUCAAACGGGGAGUGGCGCAGGCAGAGACGCCUGUUUCCCACGGGACACUCCCCGAGGUGCUGCAUGGUUGUCGUCAGCUCGUGCCGUGAGGUGUCGGCUUAAGUGCCAUAACGAGCGCAACCCCCGCGUGCAGUUGCUAACAGUCAACGCUGAGGACUCUGCACGGACUGCCGGCGCAAGCCGCGAGGAAGGCGGGGAUGACGUCAAAUCAGCACGGCCCUUACGUCCGGGGCGACACACGUGUUACAAUGGGUGGUACAGCGGGAGGCCAGGCGGCGACGCCGAGCGGAACCCGAAAUCCACUCUCAGUUCGGAUCGGAGUCUGCAACCCGACUCCGUGAAGCUGGAUUCGCUAGUAAUCGCGCAUCAGCCAUGGCGCGGUGAAUACGUUCCCGGGCCUUGCACUCACCGCCCGUCAAG
This 1404-nucleotide ribosomal RNA is filed under the name uncultured bacterium. RNAcentral's name for it is "bacterial SSU rRNA". It matches the Rfam family "Bacterial small subunit ribosomal RNA". The record is from RNAcentral.